UGUAAGAUGCGACGCUUGGGUGCGCCGAAUCCCUGCGGGGAUAGGCGUUAAACGGGAAACCGGUGUAAUUCCGGUGCAGCCCCCGCUGCUGUAAGCCAGACGACUCCGUCAUCACGUCACUGCCGUAACACGCGGGAAGACACGGAGAAGGAUGAAGGCGAGCCAGAAUACCGGCCCAAAAAGUCCAGCACCA
This 193-nucleotide non-coding RNA is filed under the name Janthinobacterium sp. Lineage: Bacteria; Pseudomonadati; Pseudomonadota; Betaproteobacteria; Burkholderiales; Oxalobacteraceae. The record is from RNAcentral.